RNAcentral lists this long non-coding RNA (1736 nucleotides) under Marmota monax (woodchuck). Lineage: Eukaryota; Metazoa; Chordata; Mammalia; Rodentia; Sciuridae. The record is from RNAcentral.
UUUUAGGCCAAAUUACAAUAUGGCAUCAAUACAGACAUUUAUAUAACUUUUCUACUAUACUUAAAAUGUAUAGCACUUUAUAAGAAAAAGAAUAUUGUAAAUUGAUCCAUUAUUGGGAUAUAGCAGAAUUGAUGCAAGGAACAAGAAAGAGCUUUAUAUGUGAGAAGAGACUAGAUCAAAGGAAGACAAACUUGCUCACAGGUCAAAUCAAGCUUGCUUCCCUUUUGAAAAGAAAGCUGUAUUGCAACACAACAACAUCCAUUUAUUUACAAAUUGGGUAUGGUUACUUUUAUAUUAUAUUGCCACACCUAAGUAGUUGCAAAUGAGACCCCUUACAAAAAAGGUUUUCCAAAAAAUAGAUUGCAGUAUAUCAAUGUCUUAACAAACUACACUUUGUUUCUGGUUUGUGCUCACUUCUAAUACAGUUCAGAAGGGUCUCCACACAGUAUUUUACUGAAAAAUCAUUGCAGACUUUAUGCCUUUUUUUUUUUUUUGCCAAAAAGUGAAAUGCUACUAAAUGUUUCACAUAUGAAACAUUGUUUUUUAAAUUGUGCAGAUAAUACUUGAAAAUUUUCAUUACUAAAUUGUCUUGGUGCAAGAUUAGAACACAUGGAAUACUCAUGAACAUAUGUUAAUGCAGUGGUAUGGUAGGGACUUUCUCAGAACAAAGGAAAGGUAACAUGACACCAACAAAAUCACCAUGCACGUUCCACAACUCUGUUGUAAUAUUGUUGCAAAUCUAUAGUAUAAAAUAUAAUGCCCAAUUAGAAUGUAUAUAAUGUAUAUUACCUUAUAUGGGAGAAAAAGAGCUAGCAAAUAAAGAGGAACUAACAAGAGAUAUAUAAGGCAACAUCUGCUUUGGGACCUCAGCCUUUGAAUAGGACCAGUGCCAACACUAAUAUGCUCUGCUUCCUGCUGAAUGCCCCGGUUCCUGGUCUCUCUGUGGAAGAAUCCUGUAACAGUGGCAAUGGUGAUGCAGUGAAAUAUGGUAAACUAGUUCUAAGAAUCAGGUGAGACAGGCAUCAUCUUUCCAAUGUUCUUCUUCAGUUAAUGCAGAGGUGGGAAUGAGAACAUGAAAAUUCACACAAUGUCUUUUAAAACUCCCUUCUGUUUUAUUUUCAUUACAUUGAACUAUCUAAGUCAUAUGGCCACAUUUAAUUCAAAGAAUGGAUGUGAUUUCCUACCAGUUGUGUGGAAAGAAGAGUCUAUGUAUAUUUUUGUAAACAAUCCUUAUGAGAGCAACAGUGUCCAAAGAAAUAGAAGAAAGUGGAAGAAAUAUUUGAAAUAUUUAUACACGAUCAUGAUGAAGUCAUUGCCAGACAUGGAGUAUCAUGAAGUAUCUGAUAGCUUUAGACAAAGCUAUCAGAUACUUCAUGAUAUCACAAAUAUAUUGGUAAAAACCACAGUAAGUUAAACAGGAGUGAUAUAUGAGGAUAUAUAUAUAGUGAUAUGUGAGGAUAUGUUUAUUUUAAUGUCAUUUUGUGCUCCUCUAGGGACAAAUAAAUAUUACCUAUAGUCUUACUUUCUUAUACUUAAUUUUAAUGAGUACUGAUUUCCACACUAUUCACACAUCCUAUUUUUUUUCCCCAGAAGUAACAUGUAAUCCUCCUUAUAUUCCAAAUGGUGUUUACUCACCUCAAAGGAUUAAGCACAGAACUGGAGAUGAAAUCAGAUAUGAAUGUAAAAGUGGUUUUUAUCCUGCAACCAGGGGAAAUACUGCAAAAUGUACAAGUAGU